CCUACGGGGGGCAGCAGUGAGGAAUAUUGGUCAAUGGACGUGAGUCUGAACCAGCCAAGUAGCGUGAAGGAUGAAUGCCCUAUGGGUUGUAAACUUCUUUUAUAUGGGAAUAAAACGUUCCACGUGUGGGGUUUUGUAUGUACCAUAUGAAUAAGGAUCGGCUAACUCCGUGCCAGCAGCCGCGGUAAUACGGAGGAUCCGAGCGUUAUCCGGAUUUAUUGGGUUUACAGGGUGCGUAGGUGGAUUGUUAAGUCAGUUGUGAAAGUUUGCGGCUCAACCGUAAAAUUGCAGUUGAAACUGGCAGGCUUGAGUACAGUAGAGGCAGGCGGAAUUCGUGGUGUAGCGGUGAAAUGCUUAGAUAUCACGAAGAACUCCGAUUGCGAAGGCAGUUCACUGGACUGCAACUGACACUGAGGCUCGAAAGUGUGGGUAUCAAACAGGAUUAGAUACCCUAGUAGUC
RNAcentral lists this ribosomal RNA (460 nucleotides) under uncultured bacterium. RNAcentral's name for it is "partial 16S ribosomal RNA". It matches the Rfam family "Bacterial small subunit ribosomal RNA", at positions 338 to 795 of the family's 1533-position model. The record is from RNAcentral.